CUUCUUCCCGUGGCUAAGAAUCAACCCUCAUUAACUAUUUACUCUUAGUAAUAAUUUAUGCCACGUAUGAAUAAACAAAAAUAAGUUCUGAGGUAUGAUACAGUAACCUGCGCCCUUCCUUGGCUUCUUGCAUGUCUUUGCUCAACUCCCUUAACUGUGCUUUAAGCCUCUAACGUGUAAAAGGGAGUUAAAGUAUUUAAAGAUACUCGUGAGCCAUGUGAGAAACUGCUCUGAUAGCUGUUCUAAAACCUGUCUUCAAGUAUUUCUUCUCUCCAGCCUUUUAAUUUGGCUCGGUGCUUGGCAAGGAUCACGCUACCACAUGCCUCUGUUAUAUGCAAUACUCUUCCCUGCAGAACACCUGAUCUCAUUUCGAAGGACAGUUUACUGGCCCCAGGUGAUGUUCCCACCCUACUGAACGGAGAUUUCCAGUUGAUCUAUAGUUGCAAGCCCCAGGAUUAUCCUCUCUUCUGCUUUCCCUCAUCGUGAUUUUGUGCUGCGCAGUGCAAAUUCCAGCCAUCUUCAAUGGUAAAUAAUAAGCUGUACAUUUGCACAAAGUUAGGAUGGCACCAUAAAAAUCAUGCCCAUCUUAGGGGUGCAGUUGGAUUCAUACACAUUUACAUUGGCAAGAGCAAACAGUCUGACUUCUUGCCUAAUUACUUAAUUAGUGAGAUAUCUGGAAACAGCUGUUCCUGACUGCCAGCAAGGUAAUGCACUCCAGGAAACCUCUGGGGUGGCCACUCAGAAAGCACAUCAGUAAUUUAUCUCCAGUGUGUCGAAGCAACUUUUUUUUUCUUCAAAUGUAACUUUGCAGGUUCUUCCCUUUGUCUAGGGUGCCCCGCUAUCAGCCACUGUGUGAGAGGAGGGGUACACACAUGGUACACAAGAGUGUGUGGCUAUGCACAGCUAUUCUAUAUAACCAUAGCAACAGGAGAAAGAGGCAAUGGUGCCUCAGCAUGUGAAGACACACCCCUCUAUUCCCUCCUGGUGACAUCAGGGUUCUGCACAGCAGUUACUAUCUGAUUUUAGAGAAUUCUUUUUGGGGAACAGGUCCUACCACCUCCUUUACCCACGCAUGCACAUUUCAGAGAAACGGGAGCUUAAAGACAGAACAAAGUGAAAUAUCCUGCCACUCAGCUACAGAGCAGUCUCCAGGUUCAAACCCUCUCCUGAAAGGAAUCAUGCUCUUGGCACAAGUAUCUCUUGUGAUACCACUUUUGAUGACACAUUGGGACAUCGUGCUUCAGCUACUGUAUUUGGGGAAAGCUUCUCAAAAGCUCGUGUCUGCCAACAGUGAAACAGGCUGGACCAUUACCAUUCCCAUUCCCACAGCAGGCUGGGAAGGGAAGAACCUGCUUUCCAAAUCAGCGUUGUGGCACACGGCCUCACCACAUGGCAGGAGCUCAAACACAAGCUGUGCAACAUCCCCGUUUCCCAGGAGGGCUGUUUCCAGUUGCUGCUCAAUGUUUCUAACAAUCAAAUGGAUCAAUUCUGAAGACACCUUAAGUCUGUGUGUUAA
This is a long non-coding RNA of Passer domesticus (house sparrow), 1516 nucleotides long. RefSeq lists it as uncharacterized. Lineage: Eukaryota; Metazoa; Chordata; Aves; Passeriformes; Passeridae. The transcript is spliced from 3 exons. The record is from RefSeq and is a predicted model, not a curated record.